AACAUGCUAACACAGCAUACCAAAUUAUGGCCAAAAAUUUUAAGUUGGGGCGACUUCGGAACCAAACAGAACUUCCGAGCAUAGAGAGCAUUCCUCCUACCAAGACCAACAUGUCAAAGCAAAUAUUGACCCAGUACUACUGACCAACGAACCAAGUUACCCCAGGGAUAACAGCGCCAUCUUCUUCAAGAGUCCAUAUCGACAAGAAGGUUUACGACCUCGAUGUUGGAUCAGGACACCCAAAUGGUGCAGCAGCUAUUAAAGGUUCGUUUGUUCAACGAUUAACAGUCCU
Molecule: ribosomal RNA, 292 nt
Filed under: Oplurus quadrimaculatus
Lineage: Eukaryota; Metazoa; Chordata; Lepidosauria; Squamata
Description: partial 16S ribosomal RNA
Rfam family: Bacterial large subunit ribosomal RNA
Source: RNAcentral